CCUACGGGGGCUGCAGUGGGGAAUAUUGGACAAUGGGCGAAAGCCUGAUCCAGCCAUGCCGCGUGUGUGAAGAAGGCCUUCGGGUUGUAAAGCACUUUCAGUGGGGAAGAAAGCCUUGGGGCUAAUACCCUCGAGGAAGGACAUCACCCACAGAAGAAGCACCGGCUAACUCCGUGCCAGCAGCCGCGGUAAUACGGAGGGUGCGAGCGUUAAUCGGAAUUACUGGGCGUAAAGCGCGCGUAGGCGGUCUGAUAAGCCGGUUGUGAAAGCCCCGGGCUCAACCUGGGAACGGCAUCCGGAACUGUCAGGCUAGAGUGCAGGAGAGGAAGGUAGAAUUCCCUGUGUAGCGGUGAAAUGCGUAGAGAUCGGGAGGAAUACCAGUGGCGAAGGCGGUCUUCUGGACUGACACUGACGCUGAGGUGCGAAAGCGUGGGUAGCAAACAGGAUUAGAUACCCGAGUAGUC
Molecule: ribosomal RNA, 464 nt
Filed under: Vreelandella stevensii
Lineage: Bacteria; Pseudomonadati; Pseudomonadota; Gammaproteobacteria; Oceanospirillales; Halomonadaceae
Description: partial 16S ribosomal RNA
Rfam family: Bacterial small subunit ribosomal RNA
Source: RNAcentral